AGAGCGAACGCUGGCGGCAGGCCUAACACAUGCAAGUCGAACGGACCCUUCGGGGUUAGUGGCGGACGGGUGAGUAACACGUGGGAACGUGCCUUUAGGUUCGGAAUAGCUCCUGGAAACGGGUGGUAAUGCCGAAUGUGCCCUUCGGGGGAAAGAUUUAUCGCCUUUAGAGCGGCCCGCGUCUGAUUAGCUUGUUGGUGGGGUAAUGGCCCACCAAGGCUACGAUCAGUAGCUGGUCUGAGAGGAUGACCAGCCACAUUGGGACUGAGACACGGCCCAAACUCCUACGGGAGGCAGCAGUGGGGAAUCUUGCGCAAUGGGCGAAAGCCUGACGCAGCCAUGCCGCGUGUAUGAUGAAGGUCUUAGGAUUGUAAAAUACUUUCACCGGUGAAGAUAAUGACUGUAGCCGGAGAAGAAGCCCCGGCUAACUUCGUGCCAGCAGCCGC
RNAcentral lists this ribosomal RNA (446 nucleotides) under uncultured soil bacterium. RNAcentral's name for it is "bacterial SSU rRNA". It matches the Rfam family "Bacterial small subunit ribosomal RNA", at positions 26 to 518 of the family's 1533-position model. The record is from RNAcentral.